GACGAACGCUGGCGGCGUGCUUAACACAUGCGAGUCGAACGGAAAGGCCCUGCUUUUGUGGGGUGCUCGAGUGGCGAACGGGUGAGUAACACGUGAGUAACCUGCCCUUGACUUUGUGAUAACUUCAGGAAACUGGGGCUAAUACCGGAUAGGAGCUCCUGCUGCAUGGGGGGGGUUGGAAAGUUUCGGCGGUUGGGGAUGGACUCGCGGCUUAUCAGCGUGUUGGUGGGGUAGUGGCUUACCAAGGCUUUGACGGGUAGCCGGCCUGAGAGGGUGACCGGCCACAUUGGGACUGAGAUACGGCCCAGACUCCUACGGGAGGCAGCAGUGGGGAAUAUUGCACAAUGGGCGGAAGCCUGAUGCAGCAACGCCGCGUGCGGGAUGACGGCCUUCGGGUUGUAAACCGCUUUCGCCUGUGACGAAGCGUGAGUGACGGUAAUGGGUAAAGAAGCACCGGCUAACUACGUG
This 468-nucleotide ribosomal RNA is filed under the name uncultured bacterium. RNAcentral describes it as "partial 16S ribosomal RNA". It matches the Rfam family "Bacterial small subunit ribosomal RNA", at positions 28 to 507 of the family's 1533-position model. The record is from RNAcentral.